CAGGUAGAGCAACAUGUGCUGCUGCAAGAAAAAACAGGAAGAAGAAAGAAGAUGCACUGUCGUCUACAUCCAUUUACUACAGCUUUGUCCCGAGUGACACUCAACCACAAGAUGCACGGUCCAAUAGAGCUAUUUACAGCUUAGCCCAGGGUGAAACUCAGCCACAAAAUGAAGGUGAACUGUCUUCUAGAAGCUUUUACUACAGUUUAGCCCAGGGUGACACUCAGCCACAAGAAUCAGAACCCACCACAAAAAUCCUCUCACCAGGUAUAAACCAGCCAAUAGCAGAGGAUCCCUUUUAUUCUCCAAUCCAGACGGUUGCAGAGUGAUCUGAUUGAAGACAUAAUCACAUCUCAGUGAGAGAUUUUGUAAUUGAAGAUUUUUCAUUUGGUUUUGGUUUCUACAUUUAUAAAUCGUGAUAACUUUUGUCUAGUUAGUUAGACACAGCUGGCUGCCAGACCCAC
This is a long non-coding RNA of Astatotilapia calliptera (eastern happy), 464 nucleotides long. NCBI's taxonomy places the organism in Eukaryota, Metazoa, Chordata, Actinopteri, Cichliformes, Cichlidae. The record is from Ensembl.